AAGAGACUGGUUGUUACUGUAUUUUUGCCCUGCUCAGAGUACAUUCUCUUCUGUCUCUGGUUGUCAUCAGCAAACUAGAUUAUUUGAGGGUUAAAUAUGUUAACCUAGAAAAGUUGUUAUAUUUGAGUUCUCCUCUUAGAUCCAAUCCUUUCUUGUAAUGAUAAAGGCUUUAUUCCCAGGGACCAUGCAUGAUGUUUCUGUAUGCAGAAUGUGGAGCCAAUAGCUUUAUUUUAUCUGUUAGGCAAAUUGCUGCUUUCAUCUCUGUGCUGUGAUGAGAAAACCCGGGAGAGGAAAGGUGACCUUCAGUUUGUAAUGCCCUCCCAGCAUCCUUCAGCACGGCUGCUUCCCACAAUGCACUGGAGGAAGGCCAGGAGCAUCAGGUUAGCUUUACAACAAACACACAGGUCAUGGCAUAAAAUACUGGCCCAUAACUUUAAGCACAACACAAAUAUUUCCAAAUUCAACCCGGUCAGUCACAUAGAAAAGAAAAUCCUAACUGAAAAAUCCUUUCAUUGCCAAUUAUAUAUACCUGUUAAGUUUU
This is a non-coding RNA of Pelobates cultripes (western spadefoot toad), 541 nucleotides long. The record is from the annotation of a GenBank genome assembly. Lineage: Eukaryota; Metazoa; Chordata; Amphibia; Anura; Pelobatidae.